Molecule: ribosomal RNA, 103 nt
Filed under: Clostridioides difficile
Lineage: Bacteria; Bacillati; Bacillota; Clostridia; Peptostreptococcales; Peptostreptococcaceae
Source: RNAcentral
CAGAGAGGAUACACCUGUUCCCAUUCUGAACACAGAAGUUAAGCUCUCUAGCGCUGAUGGUACUUGGUGGGAAACUGCCUGGGAGAGUAGGACGUAGCCACGU